RNAcentral lists this long non-coding RNA (1553 nucleotides) under Canis lupus familiaris (dog). Its description in RNAcentral is "lncRNA (ENSCAFG00030002227.1)". Lineage: Eukaryota; Metazoa; Chordata; Mammalia; Carnivora; Canidae. The record is from RNAcentral.
AGGCGCGCAGCCGCACAGGCGGAGUCCGGGAGGCACCGCCAGGGUCCGCCGGGGACACCGACCGAGGGCGCCAAGGAAGCAGUGGGGAGCCCAGGACACGACCGCGGACUGGAGGGGCCGCCGCGGGGUCGCGCCGGGCUGCACCGGGCGUCCGACAGCCGGAGAUCGUGCUCCGGGGGCAGCGCCGGCGUCCUGCCGCCCUGCUGCGUCCACCGGGAGACUCCGGGGCCUCCCGCGGGCAGCCGGGCAGCCGGGCAGCCGGAGCGGGCUCCUGGACCCGUGCGGAAGGGUGAGACAGGGAGCUGAGCUGCGUGCCCCGAGUUCCUGGCGACGGAUGCUGCUGGAGCCUGGUCCCGCGCGCCCUCUAGGGCUUCCUGGGCUUCGUGUUAGCCCUGCUGAGACACCCAGGAUGCUGGCUCAGUAUGGGGCAGAGCCAGCUUCGUGAGCCCAGCCGGACUGACUCCAGUUUGCACCCACUGUCUGUGCUUCAAAGUUGGGCUCCUGGCUCCUAGCCCCACCCACACAGCAGACAGCCCCUCUUUCUACCUCCUGGCUCCCUCCAGCUGAGGACCUCAGAGCCCACAGGCAAGGAACCCUCUCUACAGGUCAGCUUUUCACUAUUCCAUUGAAAGCCGUAGCCCUUCUUCCACUGAAUUUGCAGCUAUGGACCCUUUCUCUGUUUGAGGCAGUGACGGACACAGGCUGGGUGUCCAGGUGACGACUGAAGGUCUGGACGGGUCUGCUGGCUGACUGGCUUCCUGGCAGGCAGAGGGGAGUUUCUAGACAAGGCAUCUGCACUCUCCUCCACCUUCUCCUGCACCUGUGGCCCUGGCAGCCUCCAGGGACACCUGCUGGAGACCUACUGCAGAGGCGACCCUCCUCCUCAAGACCUCUCCGCCACAGGUGCUCAGUGGUGAGCGGAGGUCGCCAGGCCACCUUGGAACUGUGCCCUCAUUGGCCACAAAGUUAAAUAAAAUGGUUGCGUUGUAGUGAUAACCUCUCUGACUUGGGCUUUCAUUGUCCCGCUUGAGGUCCCAAAGUCCCCAUGACCAAAGCUGUUCCCGAAAACCAUUUCCUGUCUGUACGGUGGAGAGGGUGUUCCUGGAGCACUGGAACCUGCCUGGUUCGAGAAGGCAGAGAGCCAGAGUGGAUGGCAGCUCCCUGCAGGACCUGCGCUGGCCCCAGAGGCCUCUGCCCAGGCGGGUUUGUGGUAUCCUUACCAGAACUGGCAGUGGUGCAUCUGCAGACUGUCUGAGGCCACCACGAAAGCAACAGAAGAACAGAGAAGGGCCCCAGGUGGGAGUGUGGAGGGCUUUUGAAGGUGGGGAGAGUGGGAUGGAGCAGAGAUGAAGGGAUGUGUCUGUGCUGGCCCUGGAGCGGCAGCGAGAGGAGACUCCUGGGUACCCCAUAUCCCCCUUGGCCGCUGACCGGGAGCCGCAGCCUUUGGAAAUAACACCAAAUUUGUUUUAUUGAAGUAGAUUAUAGGUACUUCCUAAAGUCCAGUGAAACCUAUUUUGGAAAACAGCGUGGGUCUGCUCCCCCCUACCCCCCCC